Molecule: ribosomal RNA, 497 nt
Filed under: uncultured bacterium
Lineage: Bacteria
Description: partial 16S ribosomal RNA
Rfam family: Bacterial small subunit ribosomal RNA
Source: RNAcentral
GAUGAACGCUGGCGGCGUGCCUAAUACAUGCAAGUCGAGCGAACAGAUGAGGAGCUUGCUCCUCUGACGUUAGCGGCGGACGGGUGAGUAACACGUGGAUGACCUACCUAUAAGACUGGGAUAACUUCGGGAAACCGGAGCUAAUACCGGAUAAUAUAUUGAACCGCAUGGUUCAAUAGUGAAAGACGGUUUUGCUGUCACUUAUAGUUGGAUCCGCGCCGCAUUAGCUAGUUGGUAAGGUAACGGCUUACCAAGGCAACGAUGCGUAGCCGACCUGAGAGGGUGAUCGGCCACACUGGAACUGAGACACGGUCCAGACUCCUACGGGAGGCAGCAGUAGGGAAUCUUCCGCAAUGGGCGAAAGCUUGACGGAGCAACGCCGCGUGAGUGAUGAAGGUCUUCGGAUCGUAAAACUCUGUUAUUAGGGAAGAACAAAUGUGUAAGUAACUAUGCACGUCUUGACGGUACCUAAUCAGAAAGCCACGGCUAACUACGUG